AUUGAACGCUGGCGGCAUGCCUUACACAUGCAAGUCGAACGGUAACGCGGGGCAACCUGGCGACGAGUGGCGAACGGGUGAGUAAUACAUCGGAACGAGCCCAGUAGUGGGGGAUAGCCCGGCGAAAGCCGGAUUAAUACCGCAUACGACCUAUGGGUGAAAGCGGGGGAUCGCUAGACCUCGCGCUAUUGGAGCGGCCG
RNAcentral lists this ribosomal RNA (200 nucleotides) under uncultured bacterium. RNAcentral describes it as "partial 16S ribosomal RNA". It matches the Rfam family "Bacterial small subunit ribosomal RNA", at positions 30 to 232 of the family's 1533-position model. The record is from RNAcentral.